CUUUAUUCUUCCAACUUUGUUUCUCCUGGGGAGUAGCAGCAGCUUGUUGUUCCUUCAGAAGCCUAAGAUCUGUAGGCAAUGUUUGCAUAGUGUAGAUGGGUAGUGUAUCUGUGGCCACUCUUCUGUCCACUUCCCAUCCUUGCCGUGCUGCUUCCUUAGCUGCCUGAUCAGCUAAGUGGUUGCCACGUGCUUCCUCUGUGUCUAGUCUUCCGUGGGCUUUUACUUUCAGUACUGCCACCUCUGCUGGGAGUUCCAAU
Pelobates cultripes (western spadefoot toad) is the source of this 257-nucleotide non-coding RNA. Lineage: Eukaryota; Metazoa; Chordata; Amphibia; Anura; Pelobatidae. The record is from the annotation of a GenBank genome assembly.